Molecule: long non-coding RNA, 412 nt
Organism: Nymphalis io (European peacock)
Lineage: Eukaryota; Metazoa; Arthropoda; Insecta; Lepidoptera; Nymphalidae
Exons: 2
Source: RefSeq, a predicted model, not a curated record
GCAUUCUUCGUUGCGUACUGUGUUUGUGUUUUUGCAACUAGUUUCUAAUAAUUUUGAAUCUUGAUCCCCGCUUAGCUCUGCAAACUGGUACCUACCACUGGAUUAAGUUGUUUUUAACUCUGGUGACUGUACUCUGAUUUGCAUUGUGUUUCGGAUUCGAUUUGUAAAGUGUUAUGAGGGAACCGGAGGACAGUUUGUUGUUGUCAUGGUGGGACAAUAAUCCGGUACUUUGGUUGGCCAAGACACCAAAACAAUAUUCCUGCUCCAGCAAUAUAUUAAUAACAAUUGAAGGUUAUUAAAAUACAUUAUUUUAAUGAACAAAACGUAAAUGUUUCUUAAAAGUCGCAAUUGCAAAAUAAUAUACCUGUCUGCUUGUUUUUGUUUUAUCUAAUAAAUAAAUAAUUAUUUUUAA